GACGAACGCUGGCGGCGUGCCUAAUACAUGCAAGUCGAGCGAAGUUUUUCUGGUGCUUGCACUAGAAAAACUUAGCGGCGAACGGGUGAGUAACACGUAAAGAACCUGCCUCAUAGACUGGGACAACUAUUGGAAACGAUAGCUAAUACCGGAUAACAGCAUUAACUGCAUGGUUGAUGUUUAAAAGUUGGUUUUGCUAACACUAUGAGAUGGCUUUGCGGUGCAUUAGCUAGUUGGUGGGGUAAAGGCCUACCAAGGCGACGAUGCAUAGCCGACCUGAGAGGGUGAUCGGCCACACUAGGACUGAGACACGGCCCAGACUCCUACGGGAGGCAGCAGUAGGGAAUCUUCCGCAAUGGGCGAAAGCCUGACGGAGCAACGCCGCGUGAGUGAAGAAGGAUUUCGGUUCGUAAAGCUCUGUUGUUAGGGAAGAAUGAUUGUGUAGUAACUAUACACAGUAGAGACGGUACCUAACCAGAAAGCCACGGCUAACUACGUG
RNAcentral lists this ribosomal RNA (499 nucleotides) under uncultured bacterium. RNAcentral describes it as "partial 16S ribosomal RNA". It matches the Rfam family "Bacterial small subunit ribosomal RNA", at positions 28 to 507 of the family's 1533-position model. The record is from RNAcentral.